This 6081-nucleotide long non-coding RNA is filed under the name Sus scrofa (pig). RNAcentral's name for it is "lncRNA (ENSSSCG00045002241.1)". The record is from RNAcentral. Lineage: Eukaryota; Metazoa; Chordata; Mammalia; Artiodactyla; Suidae.
UUUUUGUCUUUUGCUGUUGUUGUUGUUGUUGCUAUUUCCUGGGCUGCUCCCGUGGCACAUGGAGGUUCCCAGGCUAGGGGUCCAAUCGGAGCUCCACCGGCCUAUGCCAGAGCCACAGCAACGCGGGAUCCGAGCCGCGUCUGCAACCUACACCACAGCUCACGGCAACGCCGGAUCGUUAACCCACUGAGCAAGGGCAGGGACAGAACCCGCAACCUCAUGGUUCCUAGUCGGAUUCGUUAACCACUGCGCCACAACAGGAACUCCUCACUACUAUUUAAAAUGUCCUCAAAAGUAACACUGUGAUUCAGUAUUGAGAUGAAAAGUUAUUGUGUACACAAAAAGACAUAUAAACAGAGCUGCAGCAGGUAAAUUUUAUAUUGCUGAGGCAAAUAUUCAUCAUAGGAGGGAUAAUCAUGAGCCUAUAUUUUGUUCCAAAACAAAAAAUUCUGUAAAUGUGUUUUAUGGAACCUAUAGGAAAUAGACGUAACGGUGCUACAUUUUGCUUUUCUGAACAAUAUGCAAAAGAAGCAUCUCCUACAUGCUAAGUAAUGUACCUCAAGACAAGAGAGUUGCCAAAUGCUUAGAAUAGAUGAAAGAAAUGUCAAAGCAUCAAAAGGCUGGUGUAAGCAACAAAUGUGUUUCAGGGGAUCGUUAACACUUUUGUGUCAUCAUUUAAUUGGAAACAUUUUUUUCCUUUCAUAGUUGUAUGUAAAAUAAUGUGUCCUUCAAUCAACGGCAUCUUAAAAUCACAUUUAAACAAAGAGUUUCGGGAGUGCCCAUCAUGGUGCAGUGGUUAACGAAUCCGACUAGGAACCAUGAGGUUGCAGGUUCGAUCCCUGGCCUCGCUCAGUGGGUUAGGGAUCUAGCGUUGCCGUGAGCUGUGGUGUAGAUCGCAGACACAGCUCGGAUCCUGCAUUGCUGGCUCUGGUGUAAGCCAGCGGCUACAGCUCCAGUUAGACCCCUAGGCUGGGAACUUCUGUAUGCCACAAGUGCGGCCCUAGAAAAGACAAAAAUAAAAUAAAAUAAAAUAGUUUCUGGAGACAUAGAGAAAACUUUGGGCUUAAAUAGAGAUAUAAAAGAAUACAAAAUUGCAAACUCACAACUAUGUAAGAUAAUUUUAAAAUAGUGUGGGAAAAGUGAAAGCAAAUACAUCAAAAUGUUAAGUCUGCAGAAUGAGAUUAUGAUUAAUCUUUAUCUUCUUCCUUUUUAUGUUUCCCAAAUUGUUACCAAAAGAAUGUGUUUUUAAAUUAGUUUAAGAUAAUAUUUAGAAUAUUAAAAACAAAGAUGGAAACUCACCCUCCAGGUACUCAUCAACUCCUUUAUAACACAUUGUUAUAAUUUAUCUAAGCUUCUGUGAAUCUGUUUAUAUUAUAUCCUUCCUAUUCUGUAAGGCUAAUUCUAUAUACUUGGUGAGAAACAUUCUAUAGAUUCACAAGCUUCAAGUUCGACCUCCUGCCUGGUGUUGCUAGGCUGGGCUCAUGCAUGUCAAUCCAAUCUCUAUUCUUCACACUUUCACAAUGCUCAGUCAAACCUUCCUGGCUUUUGCUAUUCUAACCACAAAUGCUAAUUUAUUAAGUUUUUCUAAAUACUGAAGUUCUUUCAGAAAAAUUAAAGACCUUUCCAACUCAUCUUUCUUAGUCCUUAUAAUUAUUCUGAGCUCACCACGCUAGACUAUUCUGAUAUCAGGUCUAUAGCCUAGCAAGUGCAUUUCCAAGUUAUUUAUCCAGUUUGGCAUAUUUUGGUCUCUUUCCUAUAUGACAGAAACUAAGAUGAACAAAAGAGGAAACACCUCUUUUCUUGGAUAUAUUAGCAAUCAAAGGGGCUUCUGGCUGGCAUAGUUUGCAGCCAUGGACUUUUGGAUAGGAAUUUAAUAUCAUACACUAGAAUUUCUGAGUUCACUAAGAAGAUGAAUGAGGAGUUCCCAUCGUGGCUCAGGGGUUAAAAAAUCUGACUAGGAACCAUGAGGUUGCAGGUUCUAUCCCUGGCCUUGCUCAGUGGGUUAAGGAUCCGGCAUUGCCGUGAGCUGUGAUGUAGGUCACAGACUCAGCUCGAACCCUGUGUUGCUAUGGCUCUGGCAUAGGCCGGCAGCUACAGCUCCAAUUAGACCCCUAGUCUGGGAACCUCCAUAUGCCGUGGGUACGGCCUAGAAAAGGCAAAAAGACAAAAAAAAAAAAAAAAAGAAGAUGAAUGAUGAGAACGUAAGGUGAAGAUGGAACAGAAAUAAGGAGACACGGAGCUUAAAUUAAAUCUCAGAACCAGGGGACCCUAAAUAAGCUGGAUUCAUCCUGGGCAUUGUCCCCAAAGCCCAUCUUUUUCUCUGCCCUGGGUCUUUUUAAAUUUUACUGCAUUUACAAAAUCCAUCUGUUACUUCUCUGGUCUCUCUCCUUCUCCUACAGAUCAAACACAUUUUGCCCAACUGCCACAGGCAGCCCUGGAUUGCAAAUAAGAAGCAGGCUAAACCCCAGUUUCUUGUUUGGGCUCUUCAUCAGUCAACGCUGCCAAAAGACUUCCACCAAAGCAGCAUUUCCAUUUGUCUUUGCAGUUCACAAGGUCACAGCCUUCAUGCCUCAUGCCCACACAAGCUUCUGUCACUCAUGGACUCUGUGAGUGGCCGUCCUGAAGAUGUGAUGAGGCUAUGAGAGCAAUCAAUCCCACAAGAGAGGGUCAAUGUGCCCCAAACUAAGCUCUUCCCUGGCACCAUCAGUCAGACACGUCCUGAAUAGAAGCUUUGUUUUCACUUCAGUCCCCCCACAAGUAAAUUUAUAUGCUGGUAUAAUUAUAAAAUCAUUUAAGCAUUUAACCUGCAGCUCAUAAGCAUGUUCAACACCCUAUUGGUGCCCCAUCCUACGCCUAACUAGUUGAAAUAAUAAAUAAAUAAAAUCUGGCUUGAUGUUACUAGCUAACAACUAAUAACAAAUAUCUGACUUAGUCUGAGAUUGAAGUUCAAGACUUACUUUGCUGGAGCUAGUCUUUUCCCAGACUUAGGCACAGAGGUAUGAUGGGGAAAGAUGGGAGGCAGAAAUGCCGUGGCAAUACAGCGCUUACUUCAAAUCAGAGAUACAACACAUCAACUCAGCGCAAACUUGAGGAACACCCAGAGCACAAAUUUGAGGGAGGUGGGGGAAGGGUCUGCUAGAAAUGUCUUGUCACUGUCACGUUAAGACUUACCAGACUUUGUAAAGUCAGAAUCUGCCCAAAAUAGUAAAAAUAAGGAUACAUCUCAUUGCUCUGUCAUGUGUGAGAUGUUCAUUAGCAUUUCAUGCAUGCAGGCAGAAAAUUGCUGGAGAAGGGAAGAAAUCACAUUCUGAGCUUAUCCCCCACCAAGAGCUGCAAAUUUGGCAUUUCUGCACAGGAGGAAACCAUACCCUGCUGGCAACAGACUCAUCAUCAACCCGACGCGCAAUGAAAACACAAAACAAGCAAAAUACCCUGCAUCUGUAUUGCUCUCAGUACCUUGUGAGUAUGUAUCAGUCUUAGGAACAUAUCUUGGAAUCAUUACACAAACUCUUUCCACCACAAAUACUGUGCUCCCUAUCUGAAUUCUGCUCAAUUCAUUAGGACAGAGGUACAAUUAGCUUCCUAAUGAUCAGCAUACUAGGGAUUUGAGGAAACAGGGAUUCUAAUGGAAGAGUAAUGAGCAGUGACAGGGUCUAAAAGCCGAGUGUCCUAAGGGGGAAAAAGUGAGCUGGAUAAUAGGUGCUUGAAUUCUGAAGAGUCAGUUUUGUGUGUAGGCACUUCCAAGAUGAGGGUUUUAUCUCAUGGUGGCCUAGAGUGACAAGUGUAUGGCCUAAAUGGUGCUUUACAUUAAAGAUGCAUGCUGAUGGGAAGGACAAAAUAAGAACUAUUACAUUACAUUGUCUUCAGUGUGUCUUUGAACUGACUUUCUGUCACCUGCCUCUAAACACCCUCAUGUUGCAGCUUGCAAAGGACUGACAGCUUUCAACUGCCGCUGUCACCCUUCCCUCCAUGCUGACACCUCAGAUCCUAGCCCCAAAUCUUAGCAUCCCUUUCUUUUAAUUCUCUACUAGGAUUUAUUCCAAUCAUUCUAAAUCACUUAAAAUAAAAAUCAAAAAGAAAGACCUGAGAAUAUUAGCCAUUUACAAACCAUAUUUUUGCAGAACAUUCAAUGCCAUGAGAAAGUGCUCAUCAUAUAAUAUUAAAUGAAAAACCUGGAUACAAAAUUGCAUAGGCACUAUGAUCUGAUCUGACUAUUUAUAGGUCUGUAUGUGUGAUUCCAAGAUAUUAUUCUUGUUCAUUUCUUGAAAAGGUGGUUAAGAGUCAUUUUGAUUUUCUUGUUUAUGCUUUCAAGAAUUUACAAAAUUGAGCAUGUAUUAUUUUUAUAAGCAGAAAAAAAUAAUCAUUUUAAACUGCUACACAGAAGUAAGAUAGUCCUCAGUUUAAACCUGCAUGUUAUUAUUUAUUUACACCACGUUCUACUCCACGAAUUUCAUGUCCUAUCAUCUGGAUGCUGCCUAUCUCACAUGGUUCAUCUUUGUUUCUGGCUUUCAGGAUGCAAACAAAGCAAGCAGGCUGAUUUCUGGGUGCCUCCUCAGCACGUCAAGUGUCAGGAAGCAAAAGGAGCCAGAAGGACUGGCUCCUGGUCCCCAUCCUUCCCCUAAGAGUAAUCAGAGACCUUGGAAAUCCCCAAGCAUCCUGGGCCAAACUCUCCCCAUAUAUGAACUGCAAGGUUGGGCUGGAUAAUCCUAAAGGCUCAUCUCACUCAAAACUUCUCCUUUUCAUGAGCUGCUAGAUCCAACUGCAGCAAGAAGUUGUCAUCACCACAAAUGUGAGGUUACUGCACAGUUCCAUUCACAAAACAAAGGAUUCUCAACUGGAAGUGGUAAAAGCCAAGCGUCCUAGAUAUGCCAGAGAUCCAACUUGCUGUUCUAUCUCAGAGCAGAUCUCUCGGGCAAAAUCUUCAUUGUCAAUGUAAAUUUGACCCAAAUAUCAACAGUACUGGGUGGAAGAGGGCUCAGAAAAGAGAAGGGCAAGAAGGCCUUUGAAAAACAUUAAAUUAUAUGCGGUCCCAGACAUAAAUAAGGAGUUAUCUCUUUAAUCGACAGUUAAGUUUCAUAGUCUGAAUUCACCUGGAUCUUCGGGUGACUCAAGUAUAAACACCUGGGAUGAUUACAAUACUCUGAUCUCAACAAUUAGCUGUAGAAGAUACAACCCUUAAGGAUAGAAUUAUUGACAUUCUAAAGUUAAAUUCUUAAAAUUAUACAAACGAAACAUAAAUUCACUAUCAAAUAAAAUUCGAACCAUACAGAUGUACAUACAGUAAAAACAGGAGAUUCUCCUUCAAGUUUCACCUUCUGCCCACCCACCCCACUACCAACAGGCACCUGUUUUAGACCCUUUUUGUUUUAAAUGUAUGCAUCUUCACCUGGUUCCUAUCCAUUCCUCCCAAAGCACUACAAGAAUAUCUAUAAAUAUCACAAGUCUUUGUUCUGUCAAAUUUAAUCAUAAACUUGACAAAUUUCUUCUAAACUGGAAUAGUUGCUUUUGAAGAAAAAGUCCAUUAUGUAUAGCUUCCAGAAUUGAUGCUGACCAUUAUUCUCUAUCCCUGCUAAUCUUGUUAUCUUUAAAAUAAUAAGCAUGUGAACAUGAAUAGUAAAGGAAGAAAUGUUACUAGGACAGCAAGAAUAGCACAGAAGCCUCUGUGUGCAGCUUUCGGCCCCUCAAACACAGGCAUAUGCCAAUCUUCAUUAGCUCAGGCUCUUAACUGAGCUCAGCAGAUGCCCCAGUUUAGUGCCCAUUUGGAAACCCAUCCCACCUGUGGGUGCUGCUAGGAAACAGCAUCACAAUCCUUCCUUCUGUAUUCCCGGGCAGAGCUGUGGGUUCAAGAGGAAGGACCAAGUACUUUGCUGAUACCUGAUCCAGAGAUGGUGCUUAGACAACAGUCCCUNGAUUACCAGGCUAGGGGUCUCAUCGGAGCUGUAGCCACCAGCCUACACCAGAGCCACAGCAGCGCAGGAUCCGAGCCACGUCUGCAAUCUACACCACAGCUCACUGAGCAAGGCCAGGGAUCAAACCCGCAACCCCAUGGUUCCUAGUUGGAUUCCUUAACCACUGAGCCAC